GAACGAUUAAACUCCCCUUCGGGGGAGAUAUAAAGUGGCGCACGGGUGAGUAACACGUAGGUAAUUUACCUUUGAGUGGGGAAUAACUACCGGAAACGGUGGCUAAUACCGCAUAAUGCAGCGGCACCUAAUGGUGACAGUUGUUAAAGGAGCAAUCCGCUUAAAGAGGAGCCUGCGGCAGAUUAGCUAGUUGGUAAGGUAAUGGCUUACCAAGGCUACGAUCUGUAACCGACCUGAGAGGGUGGUCGGUCACACUGACACUGAAUAACGGGUCAGACUCCUACGGGAGGCAGCAGUCGGGAAUUUUGGGCAAUGGGCGAAAGCCUGACCCAGCAACGCCGCGUGAAGGACGAAGUCUUUCGGGAUGUAAACUUCGUAAGAAUGGGAAGAAUAAAUGACGGUACCAUUUGUAAG
RNAcentral lists this ribosomal RNA (414 nucleotides) under Acidobacteria bacterium REF-32. RNAcentral describes it as "bacterial SSU rRNA". It matches the Rfam family "Bacterial small subunit ribosomal RNA", at positions 64 to 490 of the family's 1533-position model. The record is from RNAcentral. Lineage: Bacteria; Pseudomonadati; Acidobacteriota.